Molecule: long non-coding RNA, 1112 nt
Organism: Apis laboriosa (Himalayan honeybee)
Lineage: Eukaryota; Metazoa; Arthropoda; Insecta; Hymenoptera; Apidae
Exons: 3
Source: RefSeq, a predicted model, not a curated record
AAAGUUUUACAAGACCAAUAAAAUUAUUCAACCGAUUCUUAUUUUAUUGCGAGAAAUAUAUAUAUCAUAAAGUACCAUUUUUUAAUCUACACAUUUAUCAUUCAAGAAAAUGUCAUAGUUAAAAAUCGACAGUUCGUGCGAAAGAGCAUCAUUUUAUUAUUCCAUUAGUCUUCAAAAGAUUUCCUUCAUAAACAGACAAAAUAUGAAAAAAAUUCUCAUGAAAAAAAAAUUUCACGCAAUAAAAUUUACACGAGUGGCAUAAUUUACGACAAUUAAUUCUAAUACAACGACAAGAUUUGUCUAUAUCUCCUUCCACGGUUUGUAUAUGUUUCUCAUUAGCACGAAAUAAUAUUUUUUCAAUAACGAGAAGGCGCCGGAUGAGUCAUAGAGGAGGUUCGACGACCGACGCGCCACAGCGCGGCGUAGCUCGGCCUUUAUGCGAAGCCAAACGAUGGAGGAAGCAAAGGACUCUAUGGCUAUUAAAAGAAACGCGGUAAAUUAGAGUAAGGGAAUGUCGACGAGGGAUGCAACGACACAAUGGAGAAUUUAUGAUUUGGACGUUUUGCUAUUUUUCUCGUGGGAUAUACAAGGCCAAUGCAAUUUACUGAACUGGCAGAUGACUAAGAAGCGCGGGAAGAAUUCGUAAUGAAAGAUGCGCGCGCAAGAUUCUCCGUGAAGGGAUGUAAAAACAAAUUUCAACAUCAACUCAUGGCACGAUGAAAUUAAGAGAAGAAAAUAGGCAAAGAAGAGAAAACGGGUAAAGGAACAACGAUGGAUAUUUAGGAUGAAGCAUUGGCGCGAACCAUAAAGGGAACCACUCGAAAGAAGAAGAAGAAGAAGAAGAAGACGAAGAACAUCUUCUGAAGAGUGCUUGAGAUUUACGAGAAAAUAGAGCGUGAUUCUGGAACUAUGGUUGGUUGGAUUUUUAUGAGACUUACGGUACUAAGGAGAAGUGUAAUGCUAUGCGAUGAAACUUUGUUCGCUUUUUUUUCUCUCUCUUUUCUCUGAUUUUUUUUUUUUUUUUAUUUUAAACUGAUAUAAUUACGCCUUUGGAAUAGUAAAUUAAGUAGUAACAUAAGUAUCAGGAGUGAAGAUUUGCAUAAUUUAAUAAU